GAUCCUGGCUCAGGACCAACGCUGGCGGCGUGCAUAAAACAUGCAAGUCGAACGGCUCUCUUCGGAGAGCAGUGGCAAACGGCUGAGGAGCACGUGGGCAACCGGCCCUGGGGUGGGGAAUACCGCCGCGAAAGUGGCGCUAAUACCGCAUACGGUCCCGGCACGGGGGUGCUGGGAAGAAAGCUCUCGCAAGAGGGCGCCGGAGGGUGGGCCUGCGUCGGAUUAGCUCGUUGGUGGGGUCACGGCCUACCAAGGCGACGAUCCGUCGCUGAUCUGAGAGGAUGAUCAGCCAGACUGGGACUGCGACACGGCCCAGACUCCUACGGGAGGCAGCAGUUAGGAAUUUUGCGCAAUGGCCGCAAGGCUGACGCAGCAACGCCGCGUGGGUGACGACGGCCUUCGGGUUGUAAAGCCCUUUUCCUCAGGAAGAAGCUGGUGCUUCGUGCGCCGGUUGACGGUACUGGGGGAAGAAGCCCCGGCUAACUACGUGCCAGCAGCCGCGGUAAUACGUAGGGGGCGAGCGUUGUCCGGAUUUAUUGGGCGUAAAGGGCGUGUAGGCGGCCGAUUAAGGGUGGGGUGAAAUCUCCCGGCUUAACUGGGAGGGGUCCUGGCCGACUGGUCGGCUGGAGGCCGGUAGGGGCGCGUGGAAUUCCCGGUGUAGUGGUGAAAUGCGUAGAGAUCGGGAGGAACACCGGUGGCGAAGGCGGCGCGCUGGGCCGAGCCUGACGCUGAGACGCGAAAGCGUGGGGAGCGAACUGGAUUAGAUACCCAGGUAGUCCACGCGGUAAACGAUGGACACUAGGUGUGGGGGGUAUCGACCCCCUCCGUGCCGAAGCCAACGCAUUAAGUGUCCCGCCUGGGGAGUACGGCCGCAAGGCUAAAACUCAAAGGAAUUGACGAGGGCCCGCACAAGCAGCGGAGCGUGUGGUUUAAUUCGACGCAACGCGUAGAACCUUACCAGGGCUUGACAUGGCUGGGCAACUCUCGGAAAGGGGAGCCCCGCGCAAGCGGCCCAGUCACAGCUGCUGCAUGGCUGUCGUCAGCUCGUGCCGUGAGGUGUUGGGUUAAGUCCCGCAACGAGCGCAACCCCUGGGGCCAGUUACCGAUCUGGCGCGACUGCCGCGACAAACGCGGAGGAAGGCGGGGAUGACGUCAAGUCAGCACGGCGCUUACGUCCUGGGCGACACACACGCUACAAUGGACCGGACAGAGGGCGUUCCGAAGCCGCGAGGUGGGGGCAAUCCCAGAAACCGGUCCUCAGUGCAGAUUGCAGGCUGCAACCCGCCUGCAUGAAGACGGAGUUGCUAGUAACCGCCGGUCAGCAUACGGCGGUGAAUAUGUUCCCGGGCCUUGUACACACCGCCCGUCACGUCAUGAAAGCCGGUCACACCUGAAGCCGGUGGGCUAACCCCGCCAGGGGAGGUAGCUGUCGAGGGUGGGGCUGGUGAUUGGGACGAAGUCGUAUCAAGGUAGCC
Molecule: ribosomal RNA, 1475 nt
Filed under: uncultured bacterium
Lineage: Bacteria
Description: 16S ribosomal RNA
Rfam family: Bacterial small subunit ribosomal RNA
Source: RNAcentral